AGAUAGGUAUUUAAUGACAGCCAGAGCAGAUCAGGGGCGAUCUUUCUGUCCCAGGCGCUAUUUUAAAGAUGUCAGGCAGCCAGUAGCAAAUUCUUAGUGGAGUUGAGCGGCGAAGCCAAGGGCAGAUCUGACUCUUGACGCUUGUCACAGGAUGAACAUUGCAAGUCGGCGAGUCCCUGGAAGUGUGGGUGCUCCUGGAAAUGACGAAUUGCUUGACGAGAGAGAAGGAAAAAAAAGUGCCAUGAUGGAAUGGCGGAGCAGACUCGAUGGGCCAAUUGGCCUAAUUCUGCUCCAAAUCCAUAAGGGUCUUCUGGCCUUUUCAAAGUUGGGUCUGCUUGGAAACCUUUCCCUUCAGGAUGCACUUUUCCAAGCUACAUCACUAACACCUGUGAUCCCUGAAAUUUUCCACAAAGUUAAUCUUCCAUUAUGUACCGGCAGUAUACCAAUGGAAUCAAGCAGCAGUUUGAUUUUGGAUCAGAGAAUUUGGAAAGUUCUGUAAAAGUGUUAACCUUGAAGCCAAUGAAUCAACAAAACACAAAUUCAUUGGAAGGUGAAUGCUUAGAUGGUUCAGCAUGAAUAUAUUAUUUCUUCAGCUAUGGAAAUAGUAAAGAUGAAGGCUAACGUCCAACAAAACUCAGUUGUUAGUAUCAAUGUGAGUAUUUCUUGUAAAAACUAAAUGGUUGUAAAUGCUUGCUACUUCAUCACAGUAACAAUCUAAAAUUAUGUAUUCCCCUUCAUGUCCUUCAACAUAUUACCUUUAUUAUAAAUUGGCAUUUGCCGUACAAAAUUGCCAGUUUACAGUACAACUCCAUGUUUGGAAAGCAAGAGACUGUAUCAACACUGUAAUUAUAAUAUGUAAAAGAAAACUUAACCCUGAAUUAAUGCGUAAUCUACAACCACAUUCAUCAAAUUAAGUUUUUCCCCAUUUCCUUGUUCACAGGGUACUUUUAAGUUCAGGGACAGAGAGCAUGUCUUCAUUAGAAACAUUAACAUUCACAGGCUGUAGUAAAUUUUGACAGUGAAAAGGUCUCUGUAACCUUUAGUUGUGCAGAAAUUUACUUCCCAGGAAAAUUACAGCUGGCACUGUCUUAAUUAAUGCUGACUCUCUUGCCUGAAAGUUGUACGGUUGUCAGUAAAACAGGAUAAAAAACUGAACUAAAAGGCUAGAUGCAAAGGUAUUGAACACUAAAACUGAUGCUAUUAUAUUUCACUAUACUUUACUGUUUAUAGAAUUGUGAAAUAGUUGAAAGAUUACAGUAUUUCAUUUGUGUUUGUAACUAGUACUUUAGAGUGCACCUAAUGCACAUUAUACCUUGUGCUAAUUUCUAGUCCUGUCUAAUGGCCUCACAGGCAGCUGCAGUACCAUAGAGAUCAAUCCAUGUCUGCACCACUGGACCAGGUCGAAUAAGAAUCAACUUCAUACCUGUGCAAAUAUAUAUAAAAUAUGUAUAAUACAUAUUUGUCUGACGAGAAGCUUGUCAACAAGUCAGCUCAAUGAAGAUAUCAUUUUUUUUCUGUUAUGCUUUGAUGCCUUUGAAUUAAUGAAUAUUUCCACAGAAUUUUACAUUCAGUAAUUUUGUUUUGUACACACAGGAGCUUUCCUUCUAUUCUACAAUUUGUUUCCUUAUUUCUGAAAUUACUAUUUUCAUGCCAAUGAAAAUGGUGAAAAUGUCAUGUCCUAAUUUCCGGUUAAAGUCAGUCAUAUACUAAACAUAUGUUAGCAGACCUAAAUGUGCAAACCUUCUAUUGUUCCUCCAAACAAGGGAACAUGUUGUUUAGCUGAUUUACAUUAGGAUCGAUAGGACGUUAAUUGAUUUCUCCCAAUAAAAAACAUUAUGACUUUAAAAAUAAUUUUAUUGCACCCUGCUGAAAGAAGGACAGGAACUUUCACCUUGGGACCUGUAUUUAAAUUCUGGGAUAUAAGUUCCUGUUGUUUUCUGGGUAUGAAGAAUCCUUCUGAAGAAGCUACCCCUUGUCCAAUCAAAAUUAAAGAACAGUUGAGAACUUUAUGCAAAGCAGGCACAUAGAUAUGGCUUAUGAGAAGGUUCAUGCUGGUUCUGGAAAGGCUGCUGUUGUGAGACUGAGUUAAGACACAUCAAGGGAAAAGAUCUUCUGCAGGCUAUAUGCGAUGAAGUGAUAAACCAAUUUAUAAUGAAAUGGUUUAUGAUAUUGCUGCACAUAGUGAACAAAGGGAAUCUUCUCCAUUGUUGGAGAGGAGCAGUCUGAGCAUCACUUUGCCUCUGGCGAUUCUCUAACUGAUGUGAAAGUGUGUGGUGAUAACAUUGAGCGUCUAAACAGAAAUAUGUUCCAUCAUAACUCACCUUGCUAAGUUAAAAUAUAUGAACUUAAAAUGUUUGGUGGAAUAUACAGAAGUUUCACUUCAGAAUAUAAAAUGAAGAGGCCCAAAGUUCUGUUGAAUCUGCAUCCCAUGUCCUUGAAUUCCCAGCAAGUGGAUUACAUGAGCAAACCUUUUUACACAUUAGCAGAAUAUGACCAUAAUCUAUAUAAGUUUUCCCUACAGAUGUUUAUUUAUGCCAUCCUGUAAAUCCUCAGACAUCAAGAGGGCCAAAAUUCCUCCCAACAAAAUAAAAUACAAGGAAACCUGCUUAUCUCUAUAAUUAAUCACCUGGCAACUAAAUCACUGUUACAUGCAGCUGCAAACAUGCGAUUCUUUAGAAGGAUUUUGUUAGCGGUAACUAAACCAUGAAGAAAAUAGGAUUUCUCCUAAUUUUUUACUCUAUGUAGUCCAGGCUAUAGAGAUCUCUGUACAUACUGUGUAUAGGAUGAAUAAUCAUUUCAAAAUGAAAAGUAUGGGAAACUUAGUGAGGCUGUGCUGUAGUUUUGCCAGCUGGGGUUGUUGCUCCAAGUGUGUAGUCUUUCUGAAUACGUUCUAUAAUCUAUUUUUGUAUCUGCCAACUCUUCUUAGUAUGCAUAGUGUUAUUCCAUGACAUUUAUGUUUACAAUCUCCGCACUGUAGCUGGUUAAGAUUAAUUUUCAUCAUAGUUUGUUCACAGUAUCACAAAACAGGCUGUCAUAUGCAUUUUAAGUCACAAUCAUUUGUCAGUCCAUUGGUGUAACAUAUUGGCGUGCUAAUUCUCAGCACUGCUAAUAAGCACAUCGUUUGUUGGCAUUUAUGAUUCCUCAUUUGGGAAGAUUCCAUUCUGCUGGUGCGUACAGAGCCAAGGAACUUUCCAGAGGCAAUAAGACUGGAGAGUAAGUCAUUGUAGUUCUCACCCUCUCAUUCCAGCACUAUGAAGGAAAUACCUUGAUGGAGUACUGGGAUCAGAUGGUAGGUUGCCAGCAGUGUUACCUACCUAGAAAUGGAAGAGAAGUAACUUUAAAUAAUGUUAUCUGAAAGGAAGAUAAAUGGUAUGCUGUUGUUUAUUGCAUGCAAAUUGUAGUAAAAGGUAAAUACAUUUAACUGAAAUUAUCUGAGACAACACCUGAAUACUGUGUGAAGAUAUGGUUUCCCAAAUGAAGGAAACAUGUACUUGUGAUAUUGGAGUAUAACAGUGGUUUAUCAGAUUGAUUCCUGAGGGAGGAUCAUUGUCCUGUGGGGGAAACUAAGUAGACUGAGCCUACAUUUUCUGUUGUUCAGAAGAAUGAGAGGUGAUCAACAAAUUUAUAUGUGGCUUGGCAGGAUAGAUGUAGGGAAGACAUUGUGGCCCCUUGGAUCCACAGUCUCAAAAUAAAGUGCAACCAUUGAGGACUGUUUACUUCAUUCAGAAGGAAGUGAUUGUUUAUAAUUCUCAACCCAGAAGGGUGUGGAGACUCAGUUACUUAGUAUAUCCAAGGCAAAGACAAAUACUGUAAAUUUCUAAAUAUUAAAUUGAAUGUGGUGUUGUUUCAUAAGUGGCUCUGUGGGAAAAAGUUCAGCUUUCAUCUUAAUCAAGAUGGCAGAGAAAUGGCCUACUGCUGCCCUAUUUCUGACACUCUUAAAUUAAAAACUUUAAGCAGGUGACAAAUACAUAGAUUUCAUACACUUGAUCCUUUCAAUCGUGUUAGUGCACUUUCUAUGCACUGAAGUUCUUUGCUUGUUGUGUGCAGCAUGUAUAAUUUCUCAGAACAGGUAAAAUUCUGUUGUAAGGUGUUUUAACCAGUGGGAAUGGGAGUGUUUACUCUGUUGCAUUCAUCUCUUCCUGCACUAUUACUGCUUGCUGUGGCUUUCACCAAACAUUCUUGGUGGGACAGCAUCUCUCUGACUUGGGUGUGAACCUCACACAUGUAUUAAAGUAUCAGUAGACACUCAGAGUUCAGCCACAGGAAGAGGUCACCAGAUGGACAAGGGAAGAGAUUCAAGGAUAUUAUCAAAGCCUUCUUUAAAAACACGAAAUGCCACUGACUCCUGGGAAUCUCUGGCCCAUGACUGCUCAAGGUGGUGCUGAAGCCUUCAGGAUGGUACUGAGAAGUUUGAGUCCAUGUAUUAGAAGUUCAACAAAAAUGGUAGUAGGAACAAGUUAUCCAUCCACCCAUCCCACCAGGCACUCCCUGCCCCAUCUAUGGUAGACUCUACAUUGUCCUCAUCAGUCACCACAAAUCCACCAAUGUGGAAGCACUCCUUCCCCCUCAAUCCCAAGAGACCACCUAAGGUGAAGAAUUAGCAUUUUGAUAGCUGAUGACUGUAAUCGAAGUUGAGGCCCCAAAAAAUGUUUUUAAAAUAUCUUUUUGUGAGUGGACAGGAGUUGGAGUGCUCCCUCAAGCCCCAAAUGAGAUGUCUGGCCUUGAAAGUCUCCCGUGACUUCUCACAUUUCUGCCUGAGAAAUCAUCAGUCACAGUCUCCUUCUCUUUCCCAAUUGCAAAUGCACUCAUAACUUGCCAGCAACUAGGUUGCAGGUUACUCAAAAUGUCUGCAGUUGGCCAUUCUCAGGCAGCAAGCCUUAACUGGAGCCCAGGUGUUAAAUCAACUACCUAGGAUGGCAGAUGUGUUUCUGCCCACAUUUUCAAGAAGCACAGAUAGGUGAGGAACAGGCAAAGAACCCAUGAAUGGACAUGUAAGUGUGAGUAUAUGUAUGUAUGUACAGUAUGUAUGUGUUAAGUGGCUGCCCCCAAGUAGCCGGUUUCAUAGAAAUAGUUAAAAAGGUAUAUUAAAAAAAAAGACAAACUACUAUUUGACUGAGGAAAAAAUUAUGUAUUUAAAUGAAAUACAGAAUAAAUUAGAACACAACCAAAACUACUACAGUGCUAUAAAACUGUGUAUUAGUUCUUAAUAGUUAUCGAUGAAGGAAUUCAUUCACUGUAAGCUGACGUAUUCUUUUGAUUGACAAAGGAUGAAAAAAAUCAGUGCAACUACCUCGUGGAGAUAGUGGAUUGCCUUCAAACAAUGCUUUCAACAAUUGCAUCCUCCAAAUCUUCAUUUUAAUUGUAGCAUUCAAGAUAAUUGUUGAUACCUUCAAAUUCUUCAUAGUUUCUAACUUGUUGAAGUCAUGAAAUCAUUUCAUUUUCACUUCCGGCCAUUUCUGGCAUCUCCAAACCUAAUGCUUGAAACCACAGUGAACAAAACGGUUCCGAAUUGCCUUACUGCUUAUCACUCGCCAAGUAUCAGUGAUAAAAAUCACUGCUUUUUGAACACAAACAUACAAGUGACACUAUUUAGUGUAUUUUAUGUAAUGCGCUGUUUUGUAGCCACAAAGCAACAAAUUUCACAACGUAUUAUGUCAGUGAUGAUAAACCUGAUUCUGAUUCUGAAACACAGGCAAGUAGGUCUAGUUUCUCAGGCUCCAUGGUUGGCACGAAUGAGUUCAGGCAAAUGGUCUGUUUUCAUCCUGUAGUAUUCUCUGACUCUAUCUGCCUCCAGUUGUAAUCACUCCUCUACAAUGAUGACAUUGUAUAAUUUAGACAUUAACAUCAUUACUGCAUGCAAGA
Mobula hypostoma (lesser devil ray) is the source of this 5862-nucleotide long non-coding RNA. RefSeq lists it as uncharacterized. The transcript is spliced from 4 exons. NCBI's taxonomy places the organism in Eukaryota, Metazoa, Chordata, Chondrichthyes, Myliobatiformes, Myliobatidae. The record is from RefSeq and is a predicted model, not a curated record.